GACGAACGCUGGCGGCGUGCUUAACACAUGCAAGUCGAACGGAAAGGCCCUGCUUUUGUGGGGUGCUCGAGUGGCGAACGGGUGAGUAACACGUGAGUAACCUACCCUUGACUUUGGGAUAACUUCAGGAAACUGAGGCUAAUACCGGCUAGGAGCUUCUGCUGCCUGGUGGGGGUUGGAAUGUUUCGGCGGUUGGUGUUGGAAUCGCGGCUUAUCAGCUGGUUGGUGGGGUAGUGGCUUACCAGCGCUUUGACGGGUUGCCGGCCUGAGAGGGUGACCGGCCACAUUGGGACUGAGAUACGGCCCAGACUCCUACGGGAGGCAGCAGUGGGGAAUAUAGCACAAUGGGCGGAAGCCUGAUGCAGCAACGCCGCGUGCGGGAUGACGGCCUUCGGGUUGUAAACCGCUUUCGCCUGUGACGAAGCGUGAGUGACGGUAAUGGGUAAAGAAGCACCGGCUAACUACGUG
This 468-nucleotide ribosomal RNA is filed under the name uncultured bacterium. RNAcentral describes it as "partial 16S ribosomal RNA". It matches the Rfam family "Bacterial small subunit ribosomal RNA", at positions 28 to 507 of the family's 1533-position model. The record is from RNAcentral.